CGGAGGGCGGCGGCUUCACGAGAGCCGAGCAGGACCCAGACCCAGCGGGCAUCCGAGGCCCCCACCCCCACCCCCACCCCUUCCUCCGUGUAUAAAAGCGGUGCCAGGGUGAGCGUCUCUCCUCACACUGACUGCACCAGAACAAGAGCUUGAGAGUGAGAGUGAGGAUGAUGGGUGGCAAGGCCGCUCUGCUGCUGGCCCUGGUGGCCGUGACCCUGGCCGUCGUGGAGAUCCAGGCCGACGCCGGCUACGGCUACGGCGGCGGCUACCCGACGCCGACGCCGAAGCCGCCGGCCAAGGGGCCCAAGCCGGAGAAGCCCCCGACCAAGGGCCACGGCCACAAGCCGGAGAAGCCGCCCAAGGAGCACAAGCCGACUCCGCCCACCUACACCCCGAGCCCCAAGCCCACGCCGCCGCCGGCUACUCCCAAGCCGACGCCGCCCACCUACACGCCGAGCCCUAAGCCCAAGUCGCCGGUCUACCCUCCCCCGCCGAAAGCCAGUACUCCUCCGACCUACACCCCGAGCCCCAAGCCUCCGGCGACCAAGCCGCCUACCUACCCGACCCCCAAGCCACCAGCUACCAAGCCUCCGACACCUCCUGUGUACACUCCGAGCCCCAAACCACCGGUUACAAAGCCUCCUACACCCAAGCCGACCCCGCCGGUGUACACGCCGAACCCCAAGCCACCGGUUACCAAGCCUCCGACACACACGCCGAGCCCCAAGCCUCCGACAUCCAAGCCGACUCCGCCGGUGUACACACCGAGCCCCAAGCCACCGAAGCCGUCCCCGCCGACGUACACGCCGACCCCGAAGCCACCGGCUACCAAGCCGCCCACCUCAACUCCGACGCACCCUAAGCCGACGCCGCACACGCCUAUCCCCAAGCCCACGCCGCCAAC
RNAcentral lists this long non-coding RNA (904 nucleotides) under Sorghum bicolor (sorghum). RNAcentral's name for it is "long non-coding RNA (SBIC_LNC011143)". Lineage: Eukaryota; Viridiplantae; Streptophyta; Magnoliopsida; Poales; Poaceae. The record is from RNAcentral.